ACUGAGAAGUCGUCCGUGCAAAUCGAACCAUUUUGACACCCAACAGCUAGCCUUACACCAUGAAUAAAACAAACC
Molecule: transfer RNA, 75 nt
Filed under: Betta livida
Lineage: Eukaryota; Metazoa; Chordata; Actinopteri; Anabantiformes; Osphronemidae
Description: tRNA-Val
Source: RNAcentral